RNAcentral lists this long non-coding RNA (1696 nucleotides) under Macaca mulatta (Rhesus monkey). Its description in RNAcentral is "lncRNA (ENSMMUG00000064795.1)". Lineage: Eukaryota; Metazoa; Chordata; Mammalia; Primates; Cercopithecidae. The record is from RNAcentral.
CCUGGAGCCCGUGAAUCCAAGCCUGUGCUCUCGCUCCCGCCCGUGGAUUGCGUGAAAAUCAAUAGAGCACCACCCAGCUCGUGUUGGAAGGGACGCUCAGACAUCUCCGCCCACGGCAUUUUCCCUCUAGGAGGAAAAUACCCGACCUAGGCGCACCCAAAACGUUCCCUACAGUUGCAGGGGGGUUCUGGUUUCCCAAACCCCGGGACUCACGAAUCUCAAGAACAGCUGGCAGAAAGGACUGUCUGCUUGGGGGAAGGGGAGAGACCAACGCGGAGAGCCGUGGAGCUGCUUGUGGCCCCAGCCUUGGGUCACCCAGGACGCCCUUUCCGGAGCCGAGUUAAGGUCGCGGACCCUGAGUCUCUCUCUGUCGCCCAGGCUGGAGUACAGUGGCGUGAUCUCGGCUCACUGCAACCUUCGCCUCCUGGGUUCAAGUGAUUCUCCUGCCUCAGCCACCUGAGUAGCUGGGACUACAGGCGCCUGCCACCACGCCCGGCUAAUUUUUGUAAUUUUAGUAGAAACGGGGUUUCGUCAUGUUAUCCAGGCUGGUCUGGAUCUCCUGACCUCAGGUGAUCCGCCCACCUCGGCCUCCCAAAGUGCUGGGAUAACAGGCAAGAACCACCGUGGCCGGCCUAAAGCUCAGGAGUUUUAUUGUAUUUUCUUUCCCAAGCUGUAUGAAAAGUCCAACAGCACUGUUCUGUCGUUCUUUGCCUUCUUAUAUGUGACCUUUUCCCCUCUGGGGGCUUAAAAAUAUUCAUCUUGUCUUAUAAAUCCUCAGUGAAGGCAAUGAGUAUUUUUAUUUCCGUUUUACCAUUAGGGAUACUGGUUGGGGGAAGAUGAAUGACUUGCCCAAGGUCAUAUAGUAAAUCAGGACACAGACAAGAUCAAGCUUGCCCUGUCAAAGUGCUUCCCUGACAGGCAGCAGUGAUCCUCCUUUAUUUAUGUGCAAAGUACUCUCCAAUUAGGAAAUUAAGCAUCCUGGUGCUCUCUUUGGAAGGGAAGCCUUUUAUAAAUUCAUCACUUGUUAAUCAGUCAUAAAUAAAACCUACUCACUUUUGACCUCUAGAGGAAACCUGCUAUCUGGAGAUUUCACUAAUCCGAGCUAUGGAAACUUUUUUUCCCCCAGGUUUCCCUUCUAUUUCUCUUGUACAUUUCUAUACUUACUCGAGUCCUCUUUGGGUGAACCAUUGACGCACUGUAUCUUUCCAUUGCUUGCCUUAGCAUAUUGAACCUCUUAAUAGAUUUCAUUCUAGAGGCUACUAUGCUAAAAUGUGUCUAUCUCUGUGGAGACUAAAGGCUAAAGUUCAAAGUGACACUGGCAAGAAUGAUUGGCUAAUUUUAAGAUUUAGAACUGUAGCCUUUUAGAGCUAGAGGCCACUGGAGAUCAUACCCAGCAUCUAGAUCUGCAUGGAGGAAGCCAAGGCCCAGAGAGGUCAAGUUCCUUACCUAAAGUUACACAGCUAGUUUGUGACACAACUGGGACAAGAACCCAGAUCUGCUUCCUCACAUUGCUCUUUGCAAUGUACUGCAUUACCUCAUUUUUGCUGCAAGCCCUUGGCCACUGUCAAAAUCAUUCAUUUACUCAUCAAAUGUUUAUUAAGUAGGCACUUCAGUGCCAGGCACUGAAGCAAAAAAAGAAGAGUUUUCCUUCAUUAAUUGGAACAGGAGAGACUUCAGCAUUUUAAAUAUGUAGAGA